UGGGGAAUUUUGGACAAUGGGCGAAAGCCUGAUCCAGCAAUGCCGCGUGUGUGAAGAAGGCCUUCGGGUUGUAAAGCACUUUUGUCCGGAAAGAAAUCCUUGGCUCUAAUACAGUCGGGGGAUGACGGUACCGGAAGAAUAAGCACCGGCUAACUACGUGCCAGCAGCCGCGGUAAUACGUAGGGUGCAAGCGUUAAUCGGAAUUACUGGGCGUAAAGCGUGCGCAGGCGGUUUGCUAAGACCGAUGUGAAAUCCCCGGGCUCAACCUGGGAACUGCAUUGGUGACUGGCAGGCUAGAGUAUGGCAGAGGGGGGCAGAAUUCCACGUGUAGCAGCGAAAUGCGUAGAGAUGUGGAGGAAUACCGAUGGCGAAGGCAGCCCCCUGGGCCAAUACUGACGCUCAUGCACGAAAGCGUGGGGAGCAAACAGGAUUAGAUACCCUGGUAGUCCACGCCCUAAAACGAUGUCAACUAGUUGUUGGGGAUUCAUUUCCUUAGUAACGUAGCUAACGCGUGAAGUUGACCGCCUGGGGAGUACGGUCGCAAGAUUAAAACUCAAAGGAAUUGACGGGGUCAUAGCUGUUUCCU
Molecule: ribosomal RNA, 586 nt
Filed under: uncultured bacterium
Lineage: Bacteria
Description: partial 16S ribosomal RNA
Rfam family: Bacterial small subunit ribosomal RNA
Source: RNAcentral